CUCCACAGGACAAAGAGGAAAGGAGAGAAAACAAAUUGGCAUCAGUCAAUAUUAUUACCUCCCAGUGGCUACUGUCAGAGUUGAGAAGUAGAAAACGAAACCUAGCAAAAAAUCUGAAAGAUUUAACGUGCAUGUACAUUUCAUUUAUUCAUGUUUUUACUCUCUUUACCAACAAUAACUGAAAAUAAACUGAUAACAAACACUU
Molecule: long non-coding RNA, 205 nt
Filed under: Homo sapiens (human)
Lineage: Eukaryota; Metazoa; Chordata; Mammalia; Primates; Hominidae
Description: non-protein coding lnc-KIF18A-4:1
Source: RNAcentral